This is a long non-coding RNA of Zalophus californianus (California sea lion), 4803 nucleotides long. RefSeq lists it as uncharacterized. The transcript is spliced from 3 exons. Lineage: Eukaryota; Metazoa; Chordata; Mammalia; Carnivora; Otariidae. The record is from RefSeq and is a predicted model, not a curated record.
CUUGCCUUUGUGGGUAGUCAGGUGAUAACUCUUCUUCUUAGCUUUCUACUUGGGCAGAAACUAUAUACAAGAUAAGUUAACAUUGAGGAAAGGGCAAAAGCUUAGAAGGAGGAGAAAGCCAUGGCAGAAACUUAUAAGGAAACCAGAGACAAAACCGGAAUGAUUACAUCUCCUUCCCUCUCUCUGUGUGUUCCUUCUUUCUUCCCUCUCUUCCUUCCUACAAACAUUUGAGUGUCUCCUACAUGCCAAGCCCUAGCUAGCUACUGAGGAUAAAACAAGACUCAUUCCUUGCUCCAGGAGAGCUCAUAUGUAGUGGGGAGCUAAUGUCAUGGCUGACUGUAGGCCAUGGAUUUCCAAGGCCUGCUUUGUCUGUGUGUCGGUAAGGAGGGGGCUAAGAAAAUAGAGACCCUCAGAAUGGAUUCUGAAGUUACCUUUGUAAUUGCCACAAAGCUGAGGGUGGAGGACCAGCUGACACAUGUAGGCUAAGGAUGCAUACCCCACAUCAUUAUGGCUUCUCUUUGGGUGGUGGUACAGAUACUGGACAGGGGUCUGAAGUGAAGCAGGGCUAGGAUGCUUCCUGUGUCCCCCAUGCCACACUCAGCCACAGUGGCAGGGGUAAUGUUAUCACCUCUCCUCUCCCUGAAGUGCCUUUGUGUUGCUGUGGGUUGUCCGGCUGCAACUCACCUUGAGUUCUCUCUUGGUCAUCAUGUUAUGUGCAAAAGGGAGAACAAGGAAGUUGUGAGAGGUUUGGAAAAUACAAAACAAAGAAGAAAGAAGAAACAUCCUUAUCCCCAAAUAACAACAACAGCCGCAAAACAAGAAAAACAUUUUGGUAUCCAGUUUAUGGGUCUCUGAAGUGCAGGAAGCUCAAGGACCAGCCCCAGGACCAGAGAACAAAUAAUGCUCUUAUCAGGGAAUAUUCUACUAGCAUUUAAGUGUUGGUUAAGGGUCUCUGCUGAGGCUUGGGGAACAAAAAACUCCUAGGUUUUCACCUCUUGAUGAGAGAACCUCUUUGGGGGAGGUACUUUUGUGCAGGUAUUUACAAACUUCUUACAGGUGCAGGGUACAGAGAGUUCCCAGAAUAUAGGCCUUCUGAGGGAGUCAUGUUUGUUAUGAAUCUAGGUUUGAUUUGUAAAACAGGCAUUAAAGAGUAGUUGUAAGUGUCCAGAGUUUGGGGGUAACCAGAUUGGUAGGUCCUACCUGGACCUGGGAGACCUUUCCUAUGUGGUUUAUUUUGAAAGCAUUUGCUUCUGCUGAAGCUAAUUGGAGGAGGGACUUAAAGGUUGCCUGGCCACAGCCCUAAAGAACCUGGAAUUAAGGCACUGGCUGGAUGGAUACCCUAACCCGUAGACACAAGGCCGGGUGAAGAACAUUAGCUCUUAUUACUGUCAUUUGGCCAAAUGUUUUGAAGAGUGUUUGGUGUACCGAGGUCUUGUAAUGGCAGUCGGGGCUUUAAGUUGGUUAGAUACCUUUACUAAACAACAGCAUCAUAUUUUUCUCAUUUGCCAAGGGCCAUUAGAUACUUUCACAAAAUUGCCACAGUCCUUGGACAGCGUUUAAUUUCCACUGAUCUAGCUCAGCUUUACAGCCUCAGCAACAAGGGCAUGAAGUCAAUAGCUUCCCCGUCUUUGCUUCUGUGAGCAGAUGGCCUAGGAAGGAGUUCUGCGUCAUCAAGAAUAUGGCCAGACACUUUGGGGGGAUUCUGAAAUCUCUGGCUUAUAGAUUGAUUAGGGGUUCUCACUCUGCUUUCCCCUAGAGGGAUGUUUCUCUAUGGCCAGUUAACGGAUUUCACAGCAUCUUAACCUUUUAUAAAGUUUGGAAGUUUGUUUUCUGGCUCUCAUAUUUCCCUCUUGGUGUGUGUACUGCCUUUUCUCAGCUGAUGUUGGCUCUUCUCCCAACUGACUUUCAGCUGUUCUUUGGGAAAAGGCCAAUUUACAACUACAGUGAAAGAAACAAAACAGAACAAACCCCCCCCCCCCCCCAAAACCUGUGUGUCUUACCACUUCUGGCAUCUGGUUUUGUUUUGCUUCGCUUUGUUUUCCUUUAAUUGGUGGUCAGUUUGUGUACCCAAAGGCCUGCAAUUCUAAUGACCUAUUUUCUGGUAUGCUUGCCUGGGAAUGAUCCGUGAUGGGUUCCUAUCUGUAUCUCUCAUGGUCCCCUCUUAUUUAAUUUUUAGAAGAACUGCUUUGAGUUUCCCCUGGGUAGCUAGCAAGGAUCCCAGUUUCAAAACUGAAAAUAUUGGGUGUGAAGAUGUUUUGAACAAGGAACAAGAAGCCUGUGUUCUAGUCCUGGCACUGCCAUUAUUAUCCGUGUGAACUUGGGCAAGUCUCCAGAUUUCUUUGGGUUGUGGUUUCCUCAUGGGUAAAAUUGGGAUAUUAAUACCUACCUCACAGGGUUGUUGUGAGGAUUAAAUGUGCUCUGUAAUCUGUUGUACUAUAUAAAUAUUCAUGAAUUUUUGUUAUGAUUUAAGAGCCAUUUGAAAGUAUUCCCUGGCCACAUAGCAGUCAUGCUAACACUUAUACUAUCUGAUCAAGGGUUUUCAUGGUCAUGUGUUGCAUAUUGAAAUCGCUGGAGCAAAACUUUACGUUUUUACAUAAACAUUUUUGUGUGGAAAGGGUCCAUAGCUUUCAUUGGUUUUCUAAAGAGGGGUCUAUUAUCCUAAAAAGGUGAAAUCCAGUGCUUUAGAUUGAAAAGUGGGAUUCAGUGAUGGGUAUAAAUGUAUUGCUUCCAAAAGAUCCCUUCUUAACAUGUUUGUAGUAGUAGUUGCAAUGUUUUUUCGAUAGUGAAAUUUUUAAUGUGGCCUAAUGACUGGUUGAUCCGAACAUUUGAAAUUGGGACAGAAAAUUCUUGGCCAUAUGGUCAUGGUAGGCAUUAGGUUAUCCAACUGUCUACAGUGUGAAGGUGGAGGUAAAACAAAUUAUUAGCUAUGUGGCUCUAAGGAAGUCACCUUACCUCAUGGAGUCUGUUACCUCAUUUGUAAAGUGAAGGAUUUGACCUUGAAGAUUGGUUCCAAAGUUCCUAGUUUGAAUUCUCUAGGGAAGUGAGAUCAAAGCUGAACUUGGAUGAAUUCCUGUUGUGGCAGAAAUGAAUCAGGUUUUGUGUAAGAGGAGAAAGAGGGAGUGUCAGGGAGAGGAGGGGCAGAGCAUCCUGGGAAACCCCAUUCUUGAUAAAUGUGGGAAACAAGAGCCUGCUGAGGUGAAGAGCCAGAAUCAUCAGGGCAGAAAGAGAGCUGGUGGGCUACUCCUGAAGAUCCAGGACUCUGGUGGACCAGAGACUCAACCUCCAACUUUCACCCUGGGCCUGACUUGCCAGAACAAAGUUGUCCCUCAGUGAGCAAACACCCUGUCUUCUCUGCACUCACAGAACUUCCAGUUCUCAGGGGCAAAUGCCUGGAGUCUUCACUCUUCCCACAUCAGGUGGUCUGGCUACUUCAGGAGAAUGCUGCCCUACAAAUGCCUCAAGGCACAAAAUUUGGAAGACUUGGCUCUUUGGUUUAGAAGCAGCACUGGCUGAGGCAUGGUUCUUUGGAAACAGACAAGGGAUGAAGCAGGGCCUUGGCCCUAUUGGUGAGCCUUCACAUUUCCCCAGGGAAAGAAACAGAUUUGAAGAAUCCCCUACAGCAGAAGCAGAGGUGGAAAGGCGACCCACUUGUUGCGAUGGUGGGGACAGUUGAUUUCGUCUCCGUGAGGAUUCCUGUCGGUGGCUGAGCACUGAAGUUGUCUCAGUGAGUGCACAUUGCUGAUGGUAGUAAGAGCCAUGAGAAUCACGUUCCAUCUCUGCCUGCCACACAGUUGAACCCGGUGAAUUCUUUGAUCACUAAAAGCUCAGAUCGAAUACCACUAUGUCCUGUACUGUUUGUUUUCCCCAGAAAAAAAAUGGACUCUUUUUGGACUUGUCACAUGCCUUCCUGCCUUGAUUUAUUAGUUCCUAAACUGAGCUCUUUGAGAGCAGAAACUGAGACUCCUCUCUGGCAUUACAGGACCUAGUGGCAGGUUAUGAACUAAAUUGUUGAAAUCUGUCUAAGACCAAGGAAGAUGAUAACAUAAAUAACAUUUGUCUGCGGGAGGUAGUUCCCCCAGGACUACCCUUUACCUUAUGCUCUGUUCCCCCCAAAUGCCGGUGACCAUCUGCUCCUAGAUUCUUAUUCUUGGUCAGGGCUUCUUGGACUUCCUAUGGAGACUUCAGAAAUACUAAAGGAUUGCUAGCUUGUACCACUAAAAAUUUGGAGAUCUGGUGGGAGUUGAAAUUUCUUGGAGCUUCAUACUUCCUCUCAAAAAACCAUCUACAUUUUAUGUUUUGUAUGUCCUAUUAAAUGCAAAAAGUUUUCUCCUAAAACUUCGGAAAAACGUACAUGACUUCACAGUUCCAGAGAGGGUAGUUUGAGAAGCAUGGUGCUAAUUACAGCUCAUCGUGAGCACAGCAGAGAGCACUCCAUGAGGAGGAAUCUCUGAAGCCUGGAAAUGAGGAGAUUUGGGGCACAAUCUGCCUAACAAACAGUUGUUACCGACAGGGAUUUGAGACACACUUGAAGCCCAAGUUUCACUCUGUUAACUGCUGAUAGAAAAAAUACCUCACAGCUUGAGAAGACAAAAUGGUAACUGAGAUGUAGUUAGUGUUUUCUGAAGUUCUGUAUACGUUACCCAAUACAAAAAAAGGGUAUGAAGAUUUAGAUUGAUUUGCAUGAACUGUAAGCCAGUUUGUGCUUUUCCAUACACACAACUCAGGUUGGAGCAACCAUUGAUUGCAUCUUAAUUUUGGACACUGACCAGCAUUAAAAUUUAAGAAACAAUUUAAGAAACAAAC